Molecule: ribosomal RNA, 559 nt
Filed under: Penicillium citrinum
Lineage: Eukaryota; Fungi; Ascomycota; Eurotiomycetes; Eurotiales; Aspergillaceae
Description: LSU rRNA
Rfam family: Eukaryotic large subunit ribosomal RNA
Source: RNAcentral
GGGAUUGCCCUAGUAACGGCGAGUGAAGCGGCAAGAGCUCAAAUUUGAAAGCUGGCCCCCUCGGGGUCCGCAUUGUAAUUUGCAGAGGAUGCUUCGGGAACGGCCCCCAUCUAAGUGCCCUGGAACGGGCCGUCAUAGAGGGUGAGAAUCCCGUCUGGGAUGGGGUGGCCGCGCCCGUGUGAAGCUCCUUCGACGAGUCGAGUUGUUUGGGAAUGCAGCUCUAAUUGGGUGGUAAAUUUCAUCUAAAGCUAAAUAUUGGCCGGAGACCGAUAGCGCACAAGUAGAGUGAUCGAAAGAUGAAAAGCACUUUGAAAAGAGAGUUAAACAGCACGUGAAAUUGUUGAAAGGGAAGCGCUUGCGACCAGACUCGCCCGCGGGGUUCAGCCGGCACUCGUGCCGGUGUACUUCCCCGCGGGCGGGCCAGCGUCGGUUUGGGCGGCCGGUCAAAGGCCUCUGGAAGGUAACGCCUCUCGGGGCGUCUUAUAGCCAGGGGUGCCAUGCGGCCUGCCCGGACCGAGGAACGCGCUUCGGCUCGGACGCUGGCAUAAUGGUCGUAAGC